RNAcentral lists this ribosomal RNA (483 nucleotides) under uncultured bacterium. RNAcentral's name for it is "partial 16S ribosomal RNA". It matches the Rfam family "Bacterial small subunit ribosomal RNA", at positions 30 to 507 of the family's 1533-position model. The record is from RNAcentral.
AUUGAACGCUGGCGGCAGGCCUAACACAUGCAAGUCGAGCGGAUGAAGGGAGCUUGCUCCUGGAUUCAGCGGCGGACGGGUGAGUAAUGCCUAGGAAUCUGCCUGGUAGUGGGGGAUAACGUCCGGAAACGGGCGCUAAUACCGCAUACGUCCUGAGGGAGAAAGUGGGGGAUCUUCGGACCUCACGCUAUCAGAUGAGCCUAGGUCGGAUUAGCUAGUUGGUGGGGUAAAGGCCUACCAAGGCGACGAUCCGUAACUGGUCUGAGAGGAUGAUCAGUCACACUGGAACUGAGACACGGUCCAGACUCCUACGGGAGGCAGCAGGGGGGAAUAUUGGACAAUGGGCGAAAGCCUGAUCCAGCAUGCCGCGUGUGUGAAGAAGGUCUUCGGAUUGUAAAGCACUUUAAGUUGGGAGGAAGGGCAGUAAGUUAAUACCUUGCUGUUUUGACGUUACCAACAGAAUAAGCACCGGCUAACUUCGUG